Molecule: ribosomal RNA, 446 nt
Filed under: uncultured bacterium
Lineage: Bacteria
Description: partial 16S ribosomal RNA
Rfam family: Bacterial small subunit ribosomal RNA
Source: RNAcentral
UUCCAGACUCCUACGGGAGGCAGCAGUGGGGGAUAUUGCACAAUGGGGGGAACCCUGAUGCAGCGACGCCGCGUGGGUGAAGGAGCGUUUCGGCGCGUAAAGCCCUAUCGGCAGGGAAGAAGGAGGACGGUACCUGACUAAGAAGCCCCGGCUAACUACGUGCCAGCAGCCGCGGUAAUACGUAGGGGGCAAGCGUUAUCCGGAUUUACUGGGUGUAAAGGGUGCGCAGGCGGCACGGCAAGCCGGCGGUCAAAUCGCGGGGCUCAACCCCGCCCAGCCGUCGGAACUGCCGGGCUAGAGUGGGCGAGAAGUGCGCGGAAUGCGUGGUGUAGCGGUGAAAUGCAUAGAUAUCACGCAGAACUCCGAUUGCGAAGGCAGCAUGCCGGCUUCCGACUGACGCUGAAGCACGAAAGCGUGGGGAUCGAACAGGAUUAGAUACCCGAGUA